CGAGCCGGGCGGGCGGCCGCGUGGAGUCCCCUUAGGGGGCUUCCCGAGGAACGUCCGGGCUCCACAGGGCAGGGUGGUGGCCAACGGCCACCCGGGGUGACCCGCGGGACAGUGCCACAGAAAACAGACCGCCCGGCGCUUCGGCGCCGGGUAAGGGUGAAACGGUGGUGUAAGAGACCACCAGCGCCUGGGGUGACUCAGGCGGCUAGGUAAACCCCACCCGGAGCAAGGUCAAGAGGAAGCGCCUCGGUGCUUCUGCGCGGACGACCGAGGGCUGCCCGCCCGAGUCCGCGGGUGGACCGCACGAGGCCGGUGGCAACACCGGCCCUAGAUGGAUGGCCGUCGCCCCGGCUCCCGCGAGGGAACCGGGGAACAGAACCCGGCGUACAGCCCGACUCGUCUG
Molecule: RNase P RNA, 403 nt
Filed under: Streptomyces tendae
Lineage: Bacteria; Bacillati; Actinomycetota; Actinomycetes; Kitasatosporales; Streptomycetaceae
Also listed under: 1 other name
Description: RNase P RNA component class A
Rfam family: Bacterial RNase P class A
About the family: Ribonuclease P (RNase P) is a ubiquitous endoribonuclease, found in archaea, bacteria and eukarya as well as chloroplasts and mitochondria. Its best characterised activity is the generation of mature 5'-ends of tRNAs by cleaving the 5'-leader elements of precursor-tRNAs. Cellular RNase Ps are ribonucleoproteins.
Source: RNAcentral